AAACGGUAGCUAAUACCGCAUAACGUCGCAAGACCAAAGAGGGGGACCUUCGGGCCUCUUGCCAUCAGAUGUGCCCAGAUGGGAUUAGCUAGUAGGUGGGGUAAUGGCUCACCUAGGCGACGAUCCCUAGCUGGUCUGAGAGGAUGACCAGCCACACUGGAACUGAGACACGGUCCAGACUCCUACGGGAGGCAGCAGUGGGGAAUAUUGCACAAUGGGCGCAAGCCUGAUGCAGCCAUGCCGCGUGUGUGAAGAAGGCCUUCGGGUUGUAAAGCACUUUCAGCGAGGAGGAAGGUGGUGAGCUUAAUACGCUCAUCAAUUGACGUUACUCGCAGAAGAAGCACCGGCUAACUCCGUGCCAGCAGCCGCGGUAAUACGGAGGGUGCAAGCGUUAAUCGGAAUUACUGGGCGUAAAGCGCACGCAGGCGGUUUGUUAAGUCAGAUGUGAAAUCCCCGGGCUCAACCUGGGAACUGCAUUUGAAACUGGCAAGCUAGAGUCUCGUAGAGGGGGGUAGAAUUCCAGGUGUAGCGGUGAAAUGCGUAGAGAUCUGGAGGAAUACCGGUGGCGAAGGCGGCCCCCUGGACGAAGACUGACGCUCAGGUGCGAAAGCGUGCGGAGCAAACAGGAUUAGAUACCCUGGUAGUCCACGCUGUAAACGAUGUCGAUUUGGAGGUUGUGCCCUUGAGGCGUGGCUUCCGGAGCUAACGCGUUAAAUCAACCCCCCUGGGGAGUACGGCCGCAAGGUUAAAACUCAAAUGAAUUUGACGGGGGCCCGCACAAGCGGUGGAGCAUGUGGUUUAAUUUGAUGCAACGCGAAGAACCUUACCUACUCUUGACAUCCAGAGAACUUUCCAGAGAUGGAUUGGUGCCUUCGGGAACUCUGAGACAGGUGCUGCAUGGCUGUCGUCAGCUCGUGUUGUGAAAUGUUGGGUUAAGUCCCGCAACGAGCGCAACCCUUAUCCUUUGUUGCCAGCGGUUCGGCCGGGAACUCAAAGGAGACUGCCAGUGAUAAACUGGAGGAAGGUGGGGAUGACGUCAAGUCAUCAUGGCCCUUACGAGUAGGGCUACACACGUGCUACAAUGGCGUAUACAAAGAGAAGCGACCUCGCGAGAGCAAGCGGACCUCAUAAAGUACGUCGUAGUCCGGAUUGGAGUCUGCAACUCGACUCCAUGAAGUCGGAAUCGCUAGUAAUCGUAGAUCAGAAUGCUACGGUGAAUACGUUCCCGGGCCUUGUACACACCGCCCGUCACACCAUGGGAGUGGGUUGCAAAAGAAGUAGGUAGCUUAAC
This 1291-nucleotide ribosomal RNA is filed under the name Serratia nematodiphila. RNAcentral's name for it is "bacterial SSU rRNA". It matches the Rfam family "Bacterial small subunit ribosomal RNA", at positions 154 to 1439 of the family's 1533-position model. The record is from RNAcentral. Lineage: Bacteria; Pseudomonadati; Pseudomonadota; Gammaproteobacteria; Enterobacterales; Yersiniaceae.